Molecule: unclassified non-coding RNA, 128 nt
Filed under: soil metagenome
Description: partial internal transcribed spacer 1
Source: RNAcentral
CGAAUGGGUCCAAAGACUCUUAAAACCUACCAUGCUCCCCUAUGUGGAAAACAGGAAAGCCCUCCGGGGCAUAGGAAAUCUGAGAAGUUGAGAACUGCGCCCCGGCGCAUGACUAAAACAAAAAAUUA